AACGGCCGCGGUAUCCUAACCGUGCGAAGGUAGCGUAAUCACUUGUUCUUUAAAUGAGGACUAGUAUGAAUGGCACCACGAGGGUUAUACUGUCUCCUUUUCCUAAUCAGUGAAACUAAUCUCUCCGUGAAGAAGCGGGGAUUGAUAUAUAAGACGAGAAGACCCUAUGGAGCUUAAAACUAAUUUUCAUCUGCUUCAAAAUGAAUCUAAUUUCAGAAUUGCAAUAAAGAGUACAGCACUUUGAACAAUAGUUUUCGAUUGGGGUGAUCACGGAGUAAAAAAUAACCUCCAUGCCGAAANNGGACNNUCUCCUGAGCUAAAAGCCACAACUUAAAGCACUAAAAAAUUGACGUAACUUGACCCAAUACUUUGAUCAACGAACCAAGUUACCCUAGGGAUAACAGCGCAAUCCACUUCAAGAGCUCCUAUCGACAAGUGGGUUUACGACCUCGAUGUUGGAUCAGGGUAUCCUAGUGGUGCAGCCGCUACUAAAGGUUCGUUUGUUCAACGAUUAAAACCCUACGUGAUCUGAGUUCAGACCGGAGUAAUCCAGGUCAGUUUCUAUCUAUAAAGGGCUUUUUCUAGUACGAAAGGACCGAAAAAGCAUGGCCAAUGACCAAUUAAGCCAUAUAAAUUACUUAUGACCUCAACUAAAUCAGAAAUAAACCUAACACUUAACUCAAAAAAAGAGUGGUUAACGUAGCAUAACCUGGCCUUGCAG
This 721-nucleotide ribosomal RNA is filed under the name Boana heilprini (Los Bracitos treefrog). RNAcentral describes it as "partial 16S ribosomal RNA". It matches the Rfam family "Bacterial large subunit ribosomal RNA", at positions 1926 to 2925 of the family's 2925-position model. The record is from RNAcentral. Lineage: Eukaryota; Metazoa; Chordata; Amphibia; Anura; Hylidae.